Molecule: small RNA, 144 nt
Filed under: Tumebacillus sp.
Lineage: Bacteria; Bacillati; Bacillota; Bacilli; Caryophanales; Alicyclobacillaceae
Description: c-di-AMP sequence
Rfam family: c-di-AMP riboswitch aptamer (ydaO/yuaA leader)
About the family: This family represents a conserved RNA structure found upstream of the ydaO and yuaA genes in Bacillus subtilis and related genes in other bacteria.
Source: RNAcentral
GCAAAACAACGGCCUAAUUCUGAGCAAUCAGAAGCGGAGGAACCACGUUACUUGGGGUUAAUCUUGGCAUGCCAAGAGGGAUGAGAUAGCUUCUCUGCCAUCCUACCCGUCAGCUAACUUCGCCGGCUAAAGCAGGGAAGGUUC